UGCCAGCAGCCGCGGUAAUACGGAGGGUGCAAGCGUUGUUCGGAAUUACUGGGCGUAAAGCGCACGUAGGCGGAUCAGAAAGUUAGGGGUGAAAUCCCAGGGCUCAACCCUGGAACUGCCUCUAAAACUCCUGGUCUAGAGUUCGAGAGAGGUGAGUGGAAUUCCGAGUGUAGAGGUGAAAUUCGUAGAUAUUCGGAGGAACACCAGUGGCGAAGGCGGCUCACUGGCUCGAUACUGACGCUGAGGUGCGAAAGCGUGGGGAGCAAACAGGAUUAGAUA
Molecule: ribosomal RNA, 279 nt
Filed under: uncultured bacterium
Lineage: Bacteria
Description: partial 16S ribosomal RNA
Rfam family: Bacterial small subunit ribosomal RNA
Source: RNAcentral